CCAACUGGGCAGAGGGAUCCUCCUCCCAUCAUCACUGGGUUGUCAUUAAUUGUGUUUCAAUGAGCAAGAAGGACCUGAAUUGGCAGCAUGAAACAGGCCAGGCUGGAGAGCUGGGAGAAGUGGAACCUCAUGAAGUUCAAUAAGGACAAGUGUAGAAUCCUGCACCUGGGGAGAAACAACACCUUGCACCACUAUGGAUUACAGGCUGACUUGAUGGAAAGCAGCUCCGUGGAGACAGACCUUGCAGUCCUAGUGGACAAGAAGUUAUCCAUGUGACAGCAAUGUGCCCUGGCAGUCAAGAAGGCAAAUGGUCUCUUGGGAUGCAUUAAGAAAAAUGUGUCCAGCAAGUAAAGAGAUGUUCUCCUGCCCCUCUACUCUGCCCUGGUGAGACCACAUCUGGAGUAUUGUGUCCAGUUCCAGGCUCCCCCAUGGAAGAGAGACAGGGAUCUACUGGAGAAAGUCCAAUGGAGGCUACGAGGACAACGAAGGGACAGGAACAUCUGUCUGAUGAGGAAAGGCUGAGAAACCUGGGGCUGCUUACAGUGGAGAAGAGAUGCCUGAGAGGAAACCUCAUUAGUGUCCGUAAAUAUCUAAGGGGUGGGUGGCAAGAAUGGGCCAGUCUCUUUUCAGUGGAGUCCUGUAAAAGGACAGGGGGCAAUGGACACAAACUACAACUGUGGAAGUUCUACCUCUACACGAGAAGAAACUUCUUUACUGUUUAGAGUUCUGAAGCCCCAGUACAGGCUGCUCAGAGAGGUUGUGGAGUCUCCUCUGGAGAUUCAGAAACCACCUGGACAUAUUCUUGUGUAACCUGCCUUAGAUGAUCCUCCUUUGGCAAGGGGGUUGGACUUGAUGAUCUCCAGAGGUCCCUUCCAACCCCUAGCAAUGUAUGAUUAUGUGAAAGACUUCUUCCAACAUUUACAGCUUCUGAACUCUGAAGGCAAUUUUCUGUCAUGUCAAAUCUCUUUGAAAUGUAGACUUAUCUGGAACCAUUACCUCCUGCCUUUCUGCAUUCCUUAUCAAACUGAUUUUCUACUUUAAAGACAUAUUUUUUUAAUUAUAUAUAACCUUAACAGUAAUUCCAAGAAGAGGGUAUCUUGCAAUAAUAAUAAUAAAGUAAUUUAUUCCUGAUGUUAAUUUUUAAGAGAUGUGGAUUGAAAUUAAGCACUCCUGAUGGUAUUUGUGAAGGCUAUUGAUUAUGGCUGACUUAAGAGCAGAAUGAGGUUAAUUUUCUACCUAUCCUCUUCUGAAUGGAUUCCAUUACUGGUGGCUCUCUUUUCUCAGCGCAAAUUUAUAAGCUGUAGCAUGAUGAUGAGUUCUGGAAUCACAAAUUGGAAAUAAAUCUUUUCAGCAUGUUA
Pogoniulus pusillus (Red-fronted tinkerbird) is the source of this 1358-nucleotide long non-coding RNA. RefSeq lists it as uncharacterized. The record is from RefSeq and is a predicted model, not a curated record. Lineage: Eukaryota; Metazoa; Chordata; Aves; Piciformes; Lybiidae. The transcript has 2 exons.